This 319-nucleotide unclassified non-coding RNA is filed under the name Hevea brasiliensis (rubber tree). Lineage: Eukaryota; Viridiplantae; Streptophyta; Magnoliopsida; Malpighiales; Euphorbiaceae. The record is from RNAcentral.
GAUCAUGUACCUUAGACCCCCAGCCAACAUCUACUCAACCAAUGAUCUCGUCUCGCUGUGGGAGAGAAAAAUUGGCAAGAGUCUUAAAAGGAUCUACGUCCCAGAGGAGGAAGUGUUGAAGAACAUCAAAGAGACUUCAUAUCCACUUAAUAUAGAAUUGGCACUCUGUCACACUGCUCAAGUGAAAGGAUCUCAAACUAAUUUUGAUAUUGAGCCAUCUUUUGGAGUGGAAGCUUCAGCUUUGUACCCAGAUGUUCGAUAUACAACUGUGGAAGAAUACCUCGACCAGUUUGUCUGAAAAGAAAACAACCCCCUAAAG